AUCCUCUUGUCUCCCCUGUCUCUCUCUCUCUCCACUCGCCUCCCGGCCAUAGAGGAGGCGAAGCGGCUGGACUGAUCUGCGGCGACGGAGGAGGUGGAGAGCGGAUCCAGCGGUGACGGUAGCUUCCCGCGUCGGAUUCGGCGGCGACCACAGCAGAUCCUCGGGCCACGCUGCUGCCGAUGGAUCCCUCAAGUCCCCUGGCUUGGUGGUGCCCGCAUCGCCGCAGCCCGCGCCUCGUCAGGGCGGCAUCCGGUGUCAUGACCUCGCCCCACCCCGACAUCGUCUGCUCCUGCUAGGACUGAUGGGGCUUCAUCUGGCUCUGGUUCCGGAUCAUCCUAGGAAGAGGAAGGGGAGGGCCCAAGCUGUUCUCGUCCCUGUUGCUUCUCCGACCAGUGGUUGUUGGUUGGGUCGAUGAAGCCAGUGGCCGAGAAGGAUGUUCUUAGAUGUUUGUUCAACCUGUUUAUGUAUUCUUGGAUGUUCUUGAUGUUUCCAGAUACCGAUUAAUAUUGAUGGAAUAUAGUUGGGGUGAAGGGAAGUUGCUCGAUGAAAUCGAGCCACCUUUUUUAAGUUCCUGUAACCUCAAUAGUGCCGGUUCCUAGACCACCUCAAAGGUGUCGUCUACUGGUGCCUGUUGUAAAAUCCGGCACCCAUGAGGGUUUCCCAACCGACAUAUAUAGUUAUUUCUGUAUCAGUGUUUCUAUAUCUGCAUUGCUUGGAUAACUUGUAUAAAACUAUAAUGGCUUUAAUAU
Molecule: small RNA, 749 nt
Filed under: Oryza sativa Japonica Group (Japanese rice)
Lineage: Eukaryota; Viridiplantae; Streptophyta; Magnoliopsida; Poales; Poaceae
Description: sRNA Os03g0405200
Source: RNAcentral